RNAcentral lists this ribosomal RNA (248 nucleotides) under uncultured bacterium. Its description in RNAcentral is "partial 16S ribosomal RNA". It matches the Rfam family "Bacterial small subunit ribosomal RNA", at positions 334 to 577 of the family's 1533-position model. The record is from RNAcentral.
GAGACCCUACGGGACGCAGCAGUGAGGAAUAUUGGUCAAUGGGCGGGAGCCUGAACCAGCCAAGUCGCGUGAGGGAAGACGGUCCUAUGGAUUGUAAACCUCUUUAGGCGGGGAGCAAUGCCGGGCACGCGUGUCCGGAGGGAGUGUACCCGCAGAAUAAGCAUCGGCUAACUCCGUGCCAGCAGCCGCGGUAAUACGGAGGAUGCGAGCGUUAUCCGGAUUUACUGGGGGGAAAGGGGGCGCAGACG